Molecule: ribosomal RNA, 437 nt
Filed under: Streptococcus parasanguinis
Lineage: Bacteria; Bacillati; Bacillota; Bacilli; Lactobacillales; Streptococcaceae
Description: bacterial SSU rRNA
Rfam family: Bacterial small subunit ribosomal RNA
Source: RNAcentral
GAUGAACGCUGGCGGCGUGCCUAAUACAUGCAAGUAGAACGCUGAAGCUUGGUGCUUGCACCGAGCGGAUGAGUUGCGAACGGGUGAGUAACGCGUAGGUAACCUGCCUCUUAGCGGGGGAUAACUAUUGGAAACGAUAGCUAAUACCGCAUAAAAGUCGAUAUCGCAUGAUAUUGAUUUGAAAGGUGCAAUUGCAUCACUAAGAGAUGGACCUGCGUUGUAUUAGCUAGUUGGUGAGGUAACGGCUCACCAAGGCGACGAUACAUAGCCGACCUGAGAGGGUGAUCGGCCACACUGGGACUGAGACACGGCCCAGACUCCUACGGGAGGCAGCAGUAGGGAAUCUUCGGCAAUGGGGGCAACCCUGACCGAGCAACGCCGCGUGAGUGAAGAAGGUUUUCGGAUCGUAAAGCUCUGUUGUAAGAGAAGAACGAGUG